UUUUGUUUCACUGCAAAAGCUUUUAUGUCUGCAGCGUUUCAAUUCUUACUCACAGUGAAGAAUUUUUGUUGAAAAUUUGGUGCAAUGUAUAUGUUGGUGGAAGGUUCCUCUCUGUCACGUGACUUCAGGGCUUAGAAGCCUGCGGUGCAUUAAUAGAUUAAUUUCGAGGAGUUAUUACGGAGGAUUUGCAAAACGUAAACUCUAUCAUACAAUUAAGUCCUCUGCAUUCAUGUGACCUCGGUGUUUGGAAGCUCUGGUGCAUUGCAUAAACUAAAUUUAAGUUCACAUUUGUGGGUUCUCUGCUGCUCUCAAGUAAUCUCAGGGUUCAGAAGCUCUGGUGAAUUAUAUAGACCAAUUUUAAGGUUACAUUUGUCUGUACUUUGAACCAUGCAUUAUUUAGUUUCUACUUACCAUGAAUAAUUAUGGCUCAUUUUCUGGUGAAAUGUAAAUUCUGAUGUAACAUGAGGUCCUCCACUAUCGUAUGACCUUGGGGUGUAGAAAACCUGGUGCAUUGCAUGGAUUAAUUUUGAGGUUGCG
This is a long non-coding RNA of Cryptomeria japonica (Japanese cedar), 537 nucleotides long. RefSeq lists it as uncharacterized. The record is from RefSeq and is a predicted model, not a curated record. The transcript has 3 exons. NCBI's taxonomy places the organism in Eukaryota, Viridiplantae, Streptophyta, Pinopsida, Cupressales, Cupressaceae.